GAGGGCGACCACUUGGUUUCUGGAGCUGAAGCUACAGAGAUUCUGAGGCCAAUUACACCCCUAUGGAGAAGGAAAUCUUAGCAGCGUAUGAAGGCAUACGAGCAGCUUCAGAGCUUUCAGAUGCAGCU
This is a long non-coding RNA of Neopelma chrysocephalum (saffron-crested tyrant-manakin), 128 nucleotides long. RefSeq lists it as uncharacterized. NCBI's taxonomy places the organism in Eukaryota, Metazoa, Chordata, Aves, Passeriformes, Pipridae. The record is from RefSeq and is a predicted model, not a curated record. The transcript is spliced from 3 exons.